This 528-nucleotide ribosomal RNA is filed under the name uncultured bacterium. RNAcentral describes it as "partial 16S ribosomal RNA". It matches the Rfam family "Bacterial small subunit ribosomal RNA", at positions 355 to 874 of the family's 1533-position model. The record is from RNAcentral.
UGGGGAAUAUUGGACAAUGGGCGCAAGCCUGAUCCAGCAAUGCCGCGUGUGUGAAGAAGGCCUUCGGGUUGUAAAGCACUUUUAUCAGGAGCGAAACGCUGUCGGCUAAUACCCGGCGGAACUGACGGUACCUGAGGAAUAAGCACCGGCUAACUUCGUGCCAGCAGCCGCGGUAAUACGAAGGGUGCAAGCGUUAAUCGGAAUUACUGGGCGUAAAGCGUGCGUAGGCGGUUUCUUAAGUCUGCUGUGAAAUCCCCGGGCUCAACCUGGGAAUGGCAGUGGAUACUGGGAGGCUAGAGUGUGUCGGAGGGUGGUGGAAUUCCCGGUGUAGCGGUGAAAUGCGUAGAGAUCGGGAGGAACAUCAGUGGCGAAGGCGGCCACCUGGGACAACACUGACGCUGAGGCACGAAAGCGUGGGGAGCAAACAGGAUUAGAUACCCUGGUAGUCCACGCCCUAAACGAUGCGAACUGGAUGUUGGUCUCAACUCGGAGAUCAGUGUCGAAGCUAACGCGUUAAGUUCGCCGCCU